Molecule: ribosomal RNA, 462 nt
Filed under: Veillonella parvula
Lineage: Bacteria; Bacillati; Bacillota; Negativicutes; Veillonellales; Veillonellaceae
Description: bacterial SSU rRNA
Rfam family: Bacterial small subunit ribosomal RNA
Source: RNAcentral
GACGAACGCUGGCGGCGUGCUUAACACAUGCAAGUCGAACGAAGAGCGAUGGAAGCUUGCUUCUAUCAAUCUUAGUGGCGAACGGGUGAGUAACGCGUAAUCAACCUGCCCUUCAGAGGGGGACAACAGUUGGAAACGACUGCUAAUACCGCAUACGAUCUAAUCUCGGCAUCGAGGAUAGAUGAAAGGUGGCCUCUACAUGUAAGCUAUCACUGAAGGAGGGGAUUGCGUCUGAUUAGCUAGUUGGAGGGGUAACGGCCCACCAAGGCGAUGAUCAGUAGCCGGUCUGAGAGGAUGAACGGCCACAUUGGGACUGAGACACGGCCCAGACUCCUACGGGAGGCAGCAGUGGGGAAUCUUCCGCAAUGGACGAAAGUCUGACGGAGCAACGCCGCGUGAGUGAUGACGGCCUUUCGGGGUUGUAAAAGCUCUGUUAAUCGGGACGAAAAGGCCCUUCCUGGG